This 71-nucleotide transfer RNA is filed under the name Anaerolineae bacterium. Its description in RNAcentral is "tRNA-Gln". It matches the Rfam family "tRNA". Rfam says of the family: Transfer RNA (tRNA) molecules are approximately 80 nucleotides in length. Their secondary structure includes four short double-helical elements and three loops (D, anti-codon, and T loops). Lineage: Bacteria; Bacillati; Chloroflexota; Anaerolineae. The record is from RNAcentral.
UGGGGAGUCGUCUAGUGGUAGGACAGCAGAUUCUGACUCUGCCAGCCGGGGUUCGAAUCCCUGCUCCCCAG